GAACGCACAUUGCGCCUCAUGGCAUUCCGUGAGGCAUGCCCAUCUCAGUGUCAGUAAAUAUCAUCAAAUUUUGGCAUUGUGCCAAAUUUUGGAAUAUGUCAAGGAAGCUAUUACAAUUCAUGUGGAUAGCUCUUUGGAAAUUGAUAGGUCUUCAAGUGGCAAUCAUUGAAACGUGAUGAAAAUUACUUCGUUCAAAUAUUGUUAACUUGUAUAGUCCUGAAAUGUAUAUACCGUUUUGGUAUGUUUGAAAUUUGACCUGAGAUUGGGUAGGGAUACCCGCUGAACUUAAG
RNAcentral lists this unclassified non-coding RNA (290 nucleotides) under uncultured Hydnobolites. RNAcentral's name for it is "sequence contains 5.8S rRNA gene". The record is from RNAcentral. Lineage: Eukaryota; Fungi; Ascomycota; Pezizomycetes; Pezizales; Pezizaceae.